Molecule: ribosomal RNA, 544 nt
Filed under: uncultured bacterium
Lineage: Bacteria
Description: bacterial SSU rRNA
Rfam family: Bacterial small subunit ribosomal RNA
Source: RNAcentral
GGGAGGCAGCAGUGGGGAAUAUUGGACAAUGGGCGCAAGCCUGAUCCAGCAACGCCGCGUGAAUGAUGAAGGCCUUAGGGUUGUAAAAUUCUUUCGCUAGGGAAGAUAAUGACUGUACCUGGUAAAGAAGCCCCGGCUAACUCCGUGCCAGCAGCCGCGGUAAUACGGAGGGGGCUAGCGUUGUUCGGAAUUACUGGGCGUAAAGCGUGCGUAGGCGGAUCAAUAAGUAAGGGGUGAAAUCCCGAGGCUCAACCUCGGAACUGCCUCUUAAACUGUUGAUCUUGAGUUCUGGAGAGGUGAGUGGAAUUGCUAGUGUAGAGGUGAAAUUCGUAGAUAUUAGCAGGAACACCAGAGGCGAAGGCGGCUCACUGGACAGAUACUGACGCUGAGGCACGAAAGUGUGGGGAGCAAACAGGAUUAGAUACCCUGGUAGUCCACACCGUAAACGAUGAGAGCUAGUUGUCUGCAAGCAUGCUUGUAGGUGACGCAGCUAACGCAUUAAGCUCUCCGCCUGGGGAGUACGGUCGCAAGAUUAAAACUCAAA